RNAcentral lists this microRNA (22 nucleotides) under Parasteatoda tepidariorum (common house spider). Its description in RNAcentral is "pte-miR-11942c-3p". The record is from miRBase by way of RNAcentral. Lineage: Eukaryota; Metazoa; Arthropoda; Arachnida; Araneae; Theridiidae.
AAACACUGGCAGUCUUAACAAA